RNAcentral lists this transfer RNA (74 nucleotides) under Caudoviricetes sp. Its description in RNAcentral is "tRNA-Gln". It matches the Rfam family "tRNA". Rfam says of the family: Transfer RNA (tRNA) molecules are approximately 80 nucleotides in length. Their secondary structure includes four short double-helical elements and three loops (D, anti-codon, and T loops). The record is from RNAcentral. Lineage: Duplodnaviria; Heunggongvirae; Uroviricota; Caudoviricetes.
AAGGGGAUAGUGUAAAGGUAGCACAACACACUUUGACUGUGUUUGUAUAGGUUCAAAUCCUUUUCCCCUUGCCA